GACGAACGCUGGCGGCGUGCUUAACACAUGCAAGUCGAACGGAAAGGCCCUGCUUUUGUGGGGUGCUCGAGUGGCGAACGGGUGAGUAACACGUGAGUAACCUGCCCUUGACUUUGGGAUAACUUCAGGAAACUGGGGCUAAUACCGGAUAGGAGCUCCUGCUGCAUGGUGGGGGUUGGAAAGUUUCGGCGGUUGGGGAUGGACUCGCGGCUUAUCAGCUUGUUGGUGGGGUAGUGGCUUACCAAGGCUUUGACGGGUAGCCGGCCUGAGAGGGUGACCGGCCACAUUGGGACUGAGAUACGGCCCAGACUCCUACGGGAGGCAGCAGUGGGGAAUAUUGCACAAUGGGCGGAAGCCUGAUGCAGCAACGCCGCGUGCGGGAUGACGGCCUUCGGGUUGUAAACCGCUUUCGCCUGUGACGAAGCGUGAGUGACGGUAAUGGGUAAAGAAGCACCGGCUAACUACGUGCCAGCAGCCGCGGUGAUACGUAGGGUGCGAGCGUUGUCCGGAUUUAUUGGGCGUAAAGGGCUCGUAGGUGGUUGAUCGCGUCGGAAGUGUAAUCUUGGGGCUUAACCCUGAGCGUGCUUUCGAUACGGGUUGACUUGAGGAAGGUAGGGGGAGAAUGGAAUUCCUGGUGGAGCGGUGGAAUGCGCAGAUAUCAGGAGGAACACCAGUGGCGAAGGCGGUUCUCUGGGCCUUUCCUGACGCUGAGGAGCGAAAGCGUGGGGAGCGAACAGGCUUAGAUACCCUGGUAGUCCACGCUGUAAACGGUGGGUACUAGGUGUGGGGUCCAUUCCACGGGUUCCGUGCCGUAGCUAACGCUUUAAGUACCCCGCCUGGGGAGUACGGCCGCAAGGCUAAAACUCAAAGGAAUUGACGGGGCCCCGCACAAGCGGCGGAGCAUGCGGAUUAAUUCGAUGCAACGCGUAGAACCUUACCUGGGUUUGACAUGGAUCGGGAGCGCUCAGAGAUGGGUGUGCCUCUUUUGGGGUCGGUUCACAGGUGGUGCAUGGCUGUCGUCAGCUAGUGUCGUGAGAUGUUGGGUUAAGUCCCGCAACGAGCGCAACCCUUGUUCACUGUUGCCAGUACGUUAUGGUGGGGACUCAGUGGAGACCGCCGGGGUCAACUCGGAGGAAGGUGGGGAUGACGUCAAGUCAUCAUGCCCCUUAUGUCCAGGGCUUCACGCAUGCUACAAUGGCUGGUACAGAGAGUGGCGAGCCUGUGAGGGUGAGCGAAUCUCGGAAAGCCGGUCUCAGUUCGGAUUGGGGUCUGCAACUCGACCUCAUGAAGUCGGAGUCGCUAGUAAUCGCAGAUCAGCAACGCUGCGGUGAAUACGUUCCCGGG
RNAcentral lists this ribosomal RNA (1344 nucleotides) under uncultured bacterium. RNAcentral describes it as "16S ribosomal RNA". It matches the Rfam family "Bacterial small subunit ribosomal RNA", at positions 28 to 1378 of the family's 1533-position model. The record is from RNAcentral.